GCUUCCUGGCUUAGCCGGGUGGACAUGGGGCCAGCCCCUGGUACAAGGAGCUAGAGUCACAGGGAGGACAUAGGGGUAGUUUCUCUUUAGUGGGGAGAGAUGUGAUCAUCGCAAUCCUCGGCAGGGUGGGCCCAAACACGGCAGAGCCCAGAGUGUGGGUAGGACCCCGAGGCCUGGUGAGGAAAGGCUUCCUUGCUAAGGUCCUGCCUGGGAAGAGUCUUCCAGAAGUCUGGGUAGUUUCCAGAAUCAGACGGUUUCUUGAUCUACGUUUGAAAACUGAAAGAAGAACAUUAGGUCCUAAUCUCCAUCAACAAAUUCCUUCCAGCCAAGAACUCCCAGGUUCCACUUUGUUCAUUUCUGUAGGAAUUUGGACGAGCUAAAAGAGACACUGUUUUUCAACUCAGGAUCACCAUUCCAUCCAAUUGGGAUGAAUGUCAUAUGUGAAAGCUGGCGGAGUUGGGGGGAGGUGGAGAUAAUUCCCUUAAAGACAUAUGAUGUGAAGGGAGGAAUGGACUCAGAAUAAAUAGAAUGCUGCAUGUUGAAA
This is a long non-coding RNA of Suricata suricatta (meerkat), 544 nucleotides long. RefSeq lists it as uncharacterized. The record is from RefSeq and is a predicted model, not a curated record. The transcript is spliced from 2 exons. Lineage: Eukaryota; Metazoa; Chordata; Mammalia; Carnivora; Herpestidae.